RNAcentral lists this ribosomal RNA (484 nucleotides) under uncultured bacterium. RNAcentral describes it as "partial 16S ribosomal RNA". It matches the Rfam family "Bacterial small subunit ribosomal RNA", at positions 28 to 523 of the family's 1533-position model. The record is from RNAcentral.
GACGAGCGCUGGCGGCGUGCUUAACACAUGCAAGUCGAACGAUGAAGCCGGAGCUUGCUCUGGUGAAUUAGUGGCGAACGGGUGAGUAACACGUGAGUAACCUGCCCUUGACUCUGGGAUAACUGCUAGAAAUGGUAGCUAAUACCGGAUACGACCCUCGGCGGCAUCGCCAGGGGGUGGAAAGAAUUUCGGUCAAGGAUGGACUCGCGGCCUAUCAGCUAGUUGGUGAGGUAACGGGUCACCAAGGCGACGACGGGUAGCCGGCCUGAGAGGGUGACCGGCCACACUGGGACUGAGACACGGCCCAGACUCCUACGGGAGGCAGCAGUGGGGAAUAUUGCACAAUGGGCGCAAGCCUGAUGCAGCAACGCCGCGUGAGGGAUGACGGCCUUCGGGUUGUAAACCUCUUUUAGUAGGGAAGAAGCGAAAGUGACGGUACCUGCAGAAAAAGCACCGGCUAACUACGUGCCAGCAGCCGCCGUAA